CAGAGGUUGCAGUGAGCCGAGUUCAUGCCAUUGUACUCCAGCCUGGGCAGCAAGAGUGAACCUCCAUCUCACAACAUUGAAAAAAACAAAAACAAAAGCCUCAUCACAACAGCCGCCGUGCAAUGGCCUGACAGAACGCUCUCCCAUCUGCUGUGAGCCUGACUGAGGGGCCGAUUGUUGAACUCCUGUAACUCAAAGCAUGCGUGUCAAAGUGGGAAUCUCAGGGCUAUGAGAUUGGAGGUGAGACCUAUAAUGGGCCAGUGGAAGGAAAAAGUUGAAAGGUGGUUCCUUCCGUUCCUCUUUCUCACUUGAAGGCUGGCAAGUGUGAGUGAUGCCUUUCUAGAGACCUCUGACUCCCCAGAGCCCAGGGAGAGUCUGACAACACCGAGGAAAGGGCAGAGUGAUCUCAUGUAACCCAGUGUGGCCUCACCUGGAGUAGGAGGGUGGGCGAGUUGCUCUCUGAAAUAACUUCUUGUGGAAUUUUUGUUUCUAAUGAUUGGCCAGUGGACACCGUCCAUGAGGGCAGCUGCAGUGAGGCAGACCUGCAGGUGGAGAAUGAUACUCUAGGAGGAUCUCUGGGAGCAGUUGGGUGACACCUGUUGCUUUGGAACCUAGGAACAGGGUCCCCCUGAGGACAGCCUGAGUUUAAAAUCUCUAACACCAAGUGAGAAACACAUUGAUGAUGUCCAGAUUUUACCAUCACUUGUCCAGGGUACGUACCUUGAACUAACUCACUUUCUGAGAAACAAGCUUGCUGGCUUUAAUACAUAGAAACCUUAAUCUGGGUUCCUGUUAAAAAUCUUGGGGGUGUGGUGAGAGAAAAUGAUUUUGCAAGUGUAUAACUAUGAGCAGAGGGGCUGUAGAAAUGUGUGUGAACCCAGAGGACCAACCAGGAGAUUGUUUGUGAGCCAGUGUGUCUUCACCUGGAGUAGGAGAAGUGAGUGCACUUCUCACUGACUUAUCCUGAUGUUGGUGGCUCUAAAGAGUGGAUUCUGGAGAAUCUCAGCACCGAAGAGGAUACCUUUCCAGGUAGGCAACAGGACUUCAGAUGGGAUCUAAUAAAACAACAUUUCCAGGAACCUUCAUGUUAUACCUGCUGCUUGGGAGGCUGAGGGAGGCUGUAGAAAGAGAAAAAGGAAAAGUAAAUAUAAGCCGCGUUUGUUAUUUUCAGAGUUUAAUGUCAUCAUGGUGAGAAGUACUAUGUUUAUGGACUUUUGAGUAUCCUGUGUUUUCGAUCACCUCUUCUUGCUUUAUUAUUUAAAGAUGACUUUUCUGAGAACAACUGCUCUUUUCUGUCUGUGCCACUGUAAAAUCUCAGAGCCUUUGGUUUGGGAUGCAGUUCUGUCACAGGCAGUUACUUAAUCUUGGAUAUAAAAUUCUUCUGCGGUGUGCCCGGAUGCUUAGGAGAAAUGGAUCCUCACCUUAUGAACUGUUAGGUUUCAUGGCAGCACAUUCAUUUGUCUGUCCUUGCUGUUUUACCUCUGGUAUCAAGACAUCUCCCUGGGCGUGGAGGACAGAAUGAAAAUUCACUCUGGGUUCACUGCAGAAGCUCCAAUGUCUUGGAAAUGGAGGGAGAAGCACAACCGUGAGCACACUGUCAGCGUUCCAUUUCUUCAUUUGAAUGAGAAUGUGCAGUUUUACCGUCAUUUGUGGAAGAGACUUUCCUUUCCCCAUUGGGUAUUCUUGGCACCUCUGUUGAAGAUCAGCUGACUCUGUAUGUGUGCAUUUAAUUCUGGUCUCUCGAUUCUAUAUCUGUGAUACUUAUGGGUGCCCCCAUGCUAGAAGCAUGCUGUCUCAGUUUCUCUGUUUUUUAUAGAUUUCAAUCUCAUGAAUGUGUUUCCUCCAACACUAUUCUUUUUCAAUGUUACCAUGGUUAUUUGAGGCAUAUAAAAAUUCCUUAAAGUCUUAGGAUUAAUGUUUCCAUUUCUGCACAGAUGUCUGUUGCCAGUUUGAUAGCAGUUGUUGUGAGUCUGUAGAUCAUGUGUGUAGUAUUGUGUGUUAGUCAAGUUUACUCUUCCUAUCCAUGAAUACAGGAAGCCUUUCAACUUAUUUGUAUGAUCUUUACUUGAGUCUUUUGACAGCUGAUUAGCUAGAUUUAACAUGACUGAGAUAGAUUUGUGUUUUCUUUCUUUUUUUUUUUGAGAUGGAGUCACUCUGUCACCAUACUGGGGUGCAGUGAUGUGAUCUCCGCACACUGCCACCUCUGCCUCCCAGAUUCGAGUGAUUCUCCUGCCUUAUCCUCCCAAGUAGCUGGGACAACAGGUUCUUCUGAGGACAAUCUGAAUUUAAUACGCCUACCGCCAAGUGAAAUUGGUGAUUGGGAAAAUGAUGAUAAUGAGGAGGAUGAUGAGGAUGUUGAUACCAUCCAGAUUUUCCCAUUGCCUGACCAAGGGGAAUAGCCCAGCAUCAACUCAGUUCAUGCUUGUCAACCACCUCCAUACACCACAUCCAGCAAAGCUCCCUGAGUGACUCAGAGUCCUCUGAGUCCUUCCAGCUUGGCCUGAGGAUGGCCUGGUUUUAAGAGGCUCACCACAAUGCAAAGAUGAAGAAGAAAAAGAAGACGAUGAUGAUAAUAAUGAUGCCCACGGAACAGCUUGGAAAGAAAAUGACUUGACGCUGGAGAGUAUAAGUGACAAGAAGACUCAUCCAGUUAGGGAGCUAUGUGCCAGGAAAAACCCAAUGGGAAAAGGUUCCCAGGAGCCUCCAGGGUGAAGCCCUUCUAGGAGCUGACCAGGGUGCUGACUCAAAGGGAAGGCCAGCACGUGCUGCAGGGACAUCUGAGGGAGACUCAAGCUCUGCAGUCAGGCAUUUUGCCUGGCUUGGCGUAAAGAAGUGAUGGAGACUUUCCUGUGAUUCCUAGGCUCCCCUCCUGGACAGCACCAGGAAUGGGCCUUCGAGGUGGCUGGGCUUCAGGCCAGCCUGGCGGCGUGCUUGGGUGACUUGGGAGAAUGUAGCUGUUUGCUGGGAAGAUCUUAAGGAGGAAACCAGAACCUCUCUCUGUCCCAAGCUCUCAUCCCUGGGGGAGCCUGUUAGGACAGAGUUCAUUCCUCAGUCAAAAGAAAGUGCAUCUGGUUUCACAUUUUACCUUCCUUCCUGCCACCCAGAGUGGGAGCAGGCAAACCUGGCUGAGGAGAGCCACACCCCAUGGGUCAAUCACUGGAGCUUCUGAAACCUGGGUGGUGCCUGGUACAGCUGGGUUCCUUCCUUCCCCCAGCCCAAGUUCCUGCCCCCAGCUUUGUCCCUGGAGGUCUCAAUCCUGCUCUGUACAUUCUGAGGGGAACUCUUGGCCCCAGCAGAGAGCAAAACUCCAAGGGCACCUCCCAUACACCCCCCAGCGCUGGGUUCGGCCUGUACCAUCCGGGACCUGGUGCUUCUGGGCCUGGAAUUUUGCCUUUGGCAAGAGAGUGAGAAGAGACGUGACUGCUCCAGGAACGGAAAGUGCCAUUCCGACUUGAAAUAAAGAGACUGAGCGCAUUGA
Molecule: long non-coding RNA, 3478 nt
Organism: Rhinopithecus roxellana (golden snub-nosed monkey)
Lineage: Eukaryota; Metazoa; Chordata; Mammalia; Primates; Cercopithecidae
Exons: 9
Source: RefSeq, a predicted model, not a curated record